UGGCGGACGGGUGAGUAACGCGUGGGCAACCUGCCUUACACAGGGGGAUAACACUUAGAAAUAGGUGCUAAAACCGCAUAAGCGCACAGCUUCGCAUGAAGCGGUGUGAAAAACUCCGGUGGUGUAAGAUGGACCCGCGUCUGAUUAGCUUGUUGGCGGGGUAACGGCCCACCAAGGCGACGAUCAGUAGCCGGCCUGAGAGGGCGGACGGCCACAUUGGGACUGAGACACGGCCCAAACUCCUACGGGAGGCAGCAG
This 258-nucleotide ribosomal RNA is filed under the name uncultured bacterium. RNAcentral's name for it is "partial 16S ribosomal RNA". It matches the Rfam family "Bacterial small subunit ribosomal RNA", at positions 96 to 354 of the family's 1533-position model. The record is from RNAcentral.